Molecule: non-coding RNA, 27 nt
Filed under: Rattus norvegicus (Norway rat)
Lineage: Eukaryota; Metazoa; Chordata; Mammalia; Rodentia; Muridae
Source: RNAcentral
UGAGGUGCGUCCCUGAGCUGCAAAAUG